Molecule: long non-coding RNA, 2850 nt
Organism: Gallus gallus (chicken)
Lineage: Eukaryota; Metazoa; Chordata; Aves; Galliformes; Phasianidae
Exons: 2
Source: RefSeq, a predicted model, not a curated record
GUGCUGCAUGCAGCAUGAUGGUUGGAGCUUCAUGAUCCUUGGUCCCUUCCAACCUGAGCCAUUCUAUGAUUCUAUGAUUCUACGUGGCCCCGUGGUCCUGUGCUUUCUCUGCAGAAAGCUUUGAAUGCAGAGGGUAGCGGACUUAAUGCACAUGCAUUCAACUUGUGCUGCGUCAGCUCAUGAAGCACCACCAUAGGCAAAAGAACCACAGCGUCAAAUGGGAACUAGGAGCUCCCCCAGAAGCUCUGGGGCUUGGGUGGCACCUUCGACAGCAGCUGCAUUUGCUGCUGGGAUUGAAGGCAGCUGGCGGCCCCGGGCAUCUGCACAACACAGCCGUUGGGCUGGGAAAGUGGUAUGGUGAAUGUUGAUGUGUUAAUGGCAGCCACAGCAUUUCACUGCCAUCCAGACAGGGGUGAGCGGCCAACCUGGCUCCAUAGGGUGCGGUGGAAUAUUUUAGGCAAGAAUCACAUGGAUUUACUUAGAAUUAAAUGUCCCUGAAAUGAAACCCUCAAUCUGGAGACCCACAGGCUUUGCGCCCGUCAUCCAAGCCCACCUCACGACAGCUCUCUGCACCUGGUUCUCAUCUGUGCAAUGGGUCCGCCCAGCUCUCUGGAUCGGAAUCCCACAAAACCCGGGGAAUGCUUGACAUUUAGAUCCAUUUCUUUGUGGCUUGGACCCCUCUGAGACGAAUGGAGCUUUCUAUCAAUCUGGAUUUGCUUUUCUCCCGACAUUCCCCUGCCGAACCCGUCAGGCUUGUGUGAAUCCCGCCUGGCUUCACGCUCUGUUACAGAGCUGCAAUGCUCUUUCAAAGGCUCACAGCUUUUUGCCCCAAACUGCUCUGAAGCUCAUGGAAACCGGGUGGAGUCAAUGUGGCCUUGGCUCCAGGAGGAGCAUUUGUUGCAUUGCUGGGCGCAGUGCAGCUGAGGUGCCCCGUGCUGGAGGUCGUGCUUCCACCUUACACUUGUUUGUGAUGGGAUGGAAGACAUCAGACAGACAGACAGACAGACAGCUCUCAGACAUGCACUGCAGCCUGGCUUUCCCACCAUCCAGUUCUCCUUGCUUGCACGAGGUUUUAGCAUUUCUCUUUUAUCUCAGCCUUGUGAGCUUCAAAGCUGACGUGAAGCCCUGCUGUACCUCGCUGCAGAUGGGAGCGGAGCAGCCCGUGCCUCCCGCGUUCAUCCUGCAGAACUGGAAUUGAUUUAUUUUGGUUGCAGCAGUAACGACUGCAGUUCCUGGCUGGAUGCAAACCAGGCUCUUCAGAGCCCUUUUAGCAUACCAGCUCUUAGGAAACCCUUUCCAAUGCCACUGUCUUUUGCUUUUGACUGUUAAUGCUUAUGCAAAUAAAAGCUGCUCUCCCCGUUUGUCUGAAUGCCUUUUGCUUUCAGAUGGGAAGUGUGGGGAAGUCUGCAAGCACUGUCCCAUCGGAAAGCAUCAGAAGAUAUCUCUGGUGAGUGCUGGCACAGCUCAGACACCAAGUGGGUCUGGCAUGGUGUGAGGGCAUCCAUAGGGGAUGCUGCUGUAGUGCAAGGAGCCAUGGUGACAUGGCAUGGUGGCAUGGCAAAGUGGCAUGGAAUGGUGACGUGGUAUGGUGACAUGGCAUGGUGACAUGGUAUGGUGACACAGCACAGUAUCACGGCAUAGUGACACAGAAGGCAACACGGCAUGAUUCCAGGACAUGGCUACAUGGCACAGUGACACAGCACCUUGACAUGGCAAGGUGACAUGGAAGGAAGCAUGAUAUGGGGCCAUGGCUUGUUGACUGGUGCUGUGGCAGAUCAGCAAUUGAAACCCACGUCUUCUCGCAGACACCACUCUGCUUUUGGCUCACGAGCCGAUCUGUCAAUUAGCAGCCUGUGUAUCGACUCCAGCCGCCAUGCCCAGAAUAGCAGCAGCAAAGUGUGGAAGCAUCUAUUAAAUUUAUUUUAAACCACGAGAACUGAGACGCACGUCUGCUCACACGACGGCAGCGCGGCAGGAUGCGGUGCUGCGCCUCUCCAUGGGCUGUUCUGCACACCCCGAGCACAGAGCCCAGCGGCACCAGGCAGACCCGAGGGCUGGGAGAUGCGCUGCACAUCCCGACCUUUCCUCACUGUCAGGAGGAUGUGGGGAUGCAGGGCUUUGCUGAUGCACCCCUCCGCCAGCACCUCCACGACACCGGUUUGUUCUCUGCCUAAUUCCAAUUAUGUUCGACAAUUAAUUGCCCAACUGUGGGAUCUUAAACAAUGUGCUGCAUCGAUUGGAAGUGUGAUAAUCUGUGGAGGGAGAUGCUUCUAAAUGUGAUCUUGCAGCAGAUAAGGCUGCCCGGGAAGGAUGGCACGUGAUGCCAUGUGGAAGGGUUGUUAUGCCGAGAUCUGCCAGCCCGGCUCUGGGCUGAGCUUCACGCAUGCAGGGCUCUGCUGGGUGGCUGGGGGGCUUUUACAGCGUGGGAUAUUUUACUGUUGAUUUUUUAUGCAAGUGGUUUUACAUAAAGCUAAUUCGCUCUGGUUUGUUCCAUUCUCAUGGAAAAGAGCCGUGCCCAUGCUGGUUUAGCCAUCCCGGAAUCCUAUAGUUACCAAGGUUGGAAAAGACCUCCACGAUCAUCCAGUCCAACCUCCACCUACCAUCGGUGUGUCCCCAUCCUGAGCUCCCACUGCAGGAUUGCCUUGUGAGAAAACAGAAGGGUGAUGUUAAAAGGAUUUGAACCAUCCCUGGAGAUGUCCUAACAGAGGCUUGAAAGGUGGAGAAAUGGAGAGCAGCGCAGCACAGCCUGCUCGCAGACGUGGCUUGCAGGGAAACUUGUGAGAGGACAUUGAUUUAUGAUCAAAAGGGAAAAAGCAAAGCAGAAUAAAAAGAAUACUUAAGACUUAAAAA